RNAcentral lists this ribosomal RNA (425 nucleotides) under uncultured bacterium. RNAcentral describes it as "partial 16S ribosomal RNA". It matches the Rfam family "Bacterial small subunit ribosomal RNA", at positions 354 to 796 of the family's 1533-position model. The record is from RNAcentral.
GUGGGGAAUCUUGCGCAAUGGGCGAAAGCCUGACGCAGCCAUGCCGCGUGAAUGAUGAAGGUCUUAGGAUUGUAAAAUUCUUUCACCGGGGACGAUAAUGACGGUACCCGGAGAAGAAGCCCCGGCUAACUUCGUGCCAGCAGCCGCGGUAAUACGAAGGGGGCUAGCGUUGCUCGGAAUUACUGGGCGUAAAGGGCGCGUAGGCGGACAGUUUAGUCAGAGGUGAAAGCCCAGGGCUCAACCUUGGAAUUGCCUUUGAUACUGGCUGUCUUGAGUACGGGAGAGGUGAGUGGAACUCCGAGUGUAGAGGUGAAAUUCGUAGAUAUUCGGAAGAACACCAGUGGCGAAGGCGACUCACUGGCCCGUUACUGACGCUGAGGCGCGAAAGCGUGGGGAGCGAACAGGAUUAGAUACCCUAGUAGUCC